RNAcentral lists this long non-coding RNA (548 nucleotides) under Sarcophilus harrisii (Tasmanian devil). RNAcentral's name for it is "lncRNA (ENSSHAG00000026172.1)". The record is from RNAcentral. Lineage: Eukaryota; Metazoa; Chordata; Mammalia; Dasyuromorphia; Dasyuridae.
CGAAUAUGAGCAAAAGAGUAGUAAAUGACUAAAUACUGUAAAAAUUUGCACCAGAUCAAAUUUCCCCUAGUAAAUUGGCAAAGAUGACAAAAGUUAGGAGAAUUCAGUAUUGCAGUAGUUGUGUGAAGAGAUAGUCACACCGAGGAACUGGUGGGGGAUGUACAAAUUGGUGAUCCAUUGACAUCAUCUCUUCCUGACCUGAAACACAUCAUACCAACUGAGGAUAAUGUGACCUUCAAACUCUGGCAUGGCACAGAAAAAGGCAUUCCAUGUUGGUCUUUAGGAAUCUUCUCCCCAAGAAGAAAAAGGUCAGUUAUAAAGACAUCCUUCCAGAAGAGAGGAACAUUCUGGAUCCUGCUCAGGGAGAAAGAUGAAGAUCUAGCUGAAUAUAGAAGUAAGAGGGACCAUAGCCAUACAGGCCAGGCUUCCUAACCACUGUGUUCAGGGUCUGUGUUCUAUGUGUUAACUGUGUUCUAUGACAUCUCAUGAGGAAGAGAACAAAGAAAUAAUGUUCAGACCAGUGAUACUUUUCCCAUUAAAUUAUUCCC